AUGGUGGCAAAAGUUGGUCGCUGGGGAAGAGCAGUCUGUCUGCCGCACCCAGGGACAGAUGAGAACCUCUUUGAGCCUUACCUGUGCAAAGUUAUGCCAGCUGACUUGGCCACAUGUCUAUGUACAAAUAAUGUGCAGAAGUAGAAAAACAGGCGCCUGCCUCCUUCACCUGCAGACUCACCAGUUUCUGCAGAGUGGGAAGAUACUACUUUUCGCUGGACAAACCCAACUUAGCCAGUACGUGAACAUGUCCAGAAGAGAUGUUCCUUUCUGAAGGCGCAGGGCCAGCCAGGUCACCCCAGCGGCAGGAUGCGGGUAUCACUUUUUCUCUCCUUUCUCCCAAGGAGAUCAGAGGCCAUCACGCUUGCAGCAGUCUCCGAUAGCACUGACACAGAGGACUACGACUGUCUACUUCAGGAGCGAUGCCUCAGACGAGGACUCUGCAGCCACACGUACAGCGUGGUUGCAGAGUCUGACCCUGAUCUCCAGCAGUGCGCUGCUGAUGUGUCGGACCUUCCUGAUCUCCCCCAGGUCCAUCUGCUAGAACGGGAUGCUGUUUAUUUCUCCAAGCGAGACAGAUGGGAGGAGAUGGUCAAUGAGUUUGAGAUGAAAAGAGGAAUAGAGAGGAGUCCAGGUCCUGUCAAGGAGACUGAAUGGUAUGGCGAUACUGGCAUUAGCUGGAACGAAAGAAAACAAACAUGGGAAAAGCAUGAAGCUGGACGUCUGCAAAUCCCAGCGUGACCAGAGCAGCCAGUAGAGGGCACGGGGAUCUCAUAACGCUCGGAGCAGCCUAGCCCCACAAUCCCUCGUGGGAUGGAAAAGUAACGGGGCGUGCUGCCUCCUGCCUCCUCCUGUUUUGCUCAGAAAUCAAUAGUGCAGCAGCAGUUGUUCAUCCCUGAGAAUAACACGGUAUCCGUUAACAAUGGUUAAUAUUGGUAGCAGAUCCUACCAACCUUUCGGUGAGCUGGUUAAUGAUGAUAUUAUUUCCAAACACUGUUCCAAACUAGUUCUCUGGGAAGGAGAAUGCAUUAGUGGCAGGCAGGAGCCUGCCAACUCCAUGAACUGCCUCUGUGAUCACGCUGCAAGGACUUUGCUUUUUCUAAGCACUAAUAUAAUUAAAAACCAUUUUAACACGUUUUUGAUGUUAGAGUACAUGGACUUUGGAAUAAAGCUGCGUGGCUUUGUUUACUGAAACACCACUGUGAUAACAAACAGUGUUUGUUUGUUUGUUUGCUUUCCAAAACUUACUGGAUUUGGAUGAAAAUAGGAAAAACAACAACGACAACAACAAAACAAACAAAAAACCCCCACAGAUUACCUUCUGCUGGAGCUACAGUUAUUCCACUUCCUUCCUCUCAGCUCUGUCACCAGGUGAAUUAAAGGCCUCCCUCGCUGCAUAGCAACGUAUUCCGUGUAAGCAAUGCUCAGCAACAACAAAAGCAUCCAUGCGCUAUUACCAGCAUUUCUAUCAAAAAUCCAAAGUACUGCAUCUUAGAGGCCUCUACAAAUAAAAUUAACUCUGUCCCAGCCAAAACCAUGACAUCUGUGACUGCGGAUGGAGUACGCUUCUGGCUGCUUGCGGCACGAUAGAAGGGAAAAAGCUGUUUGACGUAAGAUGGCAGCACUAGAAAAGAUCGAAAAGAUUUGACUGUCUAAACUUUGUCUUAGCAGCAGCAUGUGAGACAGAAGAAUUUCUGGCUGUUAGGUGUUACAGUAUCCGUGCUGGCGUCUAGCUUCAGUGGGCACAAGAUACCAAUAUCCAGGUGCAGUUUCUCUGGCAAGGUGUAUACGGUAUUUACCACCAGCUCUCAAUGAACAUCACACAGAUUUGCCCUAAUUUUAGUACCGCUGCCAAACAGGGUGUGCAUAUGGCAGUGCUACAGGCUCAGAUACAUCAGAUAUGGCUAUGUGGCCCUUCUCUAUGGAUCUAAUCGCAUUGCGCGUGGCAGGUUGGGUCGUACAACACUGUGCUACCAGUGAGGUAAAUGAGGCGUUCUGGGAGGAAAGAGACUGAGAGCACGUGAGAAAUAGGCAGGUCUGCAGACUGCUGGAAGUAUUUAAUUUCCUUUAAGAGGGGGAAAACGUAUUGUCCUUGUGUAUUGACACCUAUCGCUGGGGCUUCUUAUUUACAGUUUUGGUUUAUUUGCAAAGUACGUAUGGAGACUUCAGGGAGCUAAAAGGGAAAUACUCUGGCAGGUUUCCUUCAGCGAUUUUUUUCUGAUGUGCACUAUUGGCUGUGAGCGUACGACUCGGUCUACCUCUCCUAGAGUCGACUUCCAGCAGUGCUGUUCUGCUGCCAGAUGGUCAAAUGAAAUGAGAACAGAAUGGUUAAGCUCUGACUGAUAUGGACACUCAUGCCAAUUUGGUUUUGAACUUUUCCUUUGGAACUACAAUUUGGAAAUAAAUGGAAAGAGGUGAGAGCACACGAAGAAAGGAAUUUGUUUCCUGUGUUCCCCCCUCCCCCCUUUUUUUUUUAAACUAAAAAUUUGCUUAAUCUGGCACAGCCGUAAACCGUUUAUCAGAUUAUUACCUACGGACGGGUAGGG
Molecule: long non-coding RNA, 2546 nt
Organism: Gallus gallus (chicken)
Lineage: Eukaryota; Metazoa; Chordata; Aves; Galliformes; Phasianidae
Source: Ensembl